Molecule: long non-coding RNA, 2573 nt
Organism: Hemicordylus capensis (graceful crag lizard)
Lineage: Eukaryota; Metazoa; Chordata; Lepidosauria; Squamata; Cordylidae
Exons: 2
Source: RefSeq, a predicted model, not a curated record
ACAGGGGGUCCAUGCUGUUGGGGGCCGCCGCGGGGUGCAUUAGCCCCAUCCCGGGGCUUUGUUGUCCGCCAUGUUGAUCAAAGCAAGGCCCGGCCCGGCUCGUUGAGGAGGCGCCUCCGCCGCUGCUGCCAGCGUUGCCGUAAUAGCUAUUAAACUCUGAGACACCCACUGCUGAGGGGCCGCCGCCGCCGCCGCCACCACCUCCUCCGCCUCCGCCUCCUCCAGCGCCUCCGCCGCUGCCCGCUCCCUGAGGUGGCGGCGGAGGCGGCGGCUGCUGCUGCUGCUGGCCGCCCAAAGGUCCCAAGCUGGGGUGGUCGUAGCGGCUGCUGAGGUGCUGCUCGCCCAUUUUGUCCGCCGGUGGCGGCGUCCGCGUCGCUUCUUCCUCGUCUCCGCCUUUAUUCAGCAGGGGCUGAGGCUGUGGCUGGCUCUGGGGCUCAGCCUGUCCCCCCAAGCCACUGUCUUUUCCUCCAUGUUGCUGCCGUUGCUCCAUGUCUGCGCUGCUGGGCUGAGCAGCGCCGCCACCGCCGUUGUUGUUGCUGCCGCCGCCGCCGUUGUUGUUAUUCUGCAUCGGAUGGUGCUGAGGCGGCGGCUGUUGCUGGAAUUGAUUUAGCUGUGGUGGUGGUGGUGGUGGAGGUUGUUGAAGAAGAAGAAGUGCAUGGUGGUGUUGGUGUUGGUGGUGAGCAUGGUGGUGCUGGGCAUGGAGGUUUAAAUGAAACUUUUUUCUUUUCCUCUCUAACCCGGAUAUGGGUAAAUACACGUCUGGCUGAGCCUAUCUGGCCCAGCAUGGCAUGAGAGAGCGAGAGAAGGAGAGGGAGAGCGAGAGAGCUCUAACAACUAUUAUCCACUUCUCUCUGAUUACUCCGGUGCACGUGGAAAACGCGGACUGGAUUUUCCUUCCGUCUUUUGCUACAGCUCUAGCGCGAUGGUAGAUGCAGGGAAGAAGAGAUGCACACUUCACAGCCUCUUCACCUCCCUGAAAUAGGGCAGCUGGUACCACACUGCACAAGGAGGGACGGGUGCUGCCUCCUCCUUUUUUGUAGUUCCCUUUUUAGGCAUGUGAAAAGCAACAACAACAAAUUAAAUCAAAGCACACACACCCCUCCAAUUCCAGAUAAAACCCAGUGUUUGUGUUUUAAUAAUUGACAUUCACUUACCAAACAAAAAACAACCAAAAAUACACCAGCUAGAUAGAAUGAGCUCUGAUGUAAUGCAGCAUAAUUUUUAAUGACCUGUAUUAAACUGUAUAAAGACAAACUACAUAAACAAGUUUGUAUAUGAUCAGACUCACAAGGUGCCAUAUCCAUAGUCACUUUGGCACAUGACAGGCAAAUUUAAGACUGCCCUUUUUACUCUGGCUUUGGCUAGUGAUUUGUUGUCCUCUGGCUGCCAAUCUGUUUUUUUAGCUGUAUCUUUUGGUUGCUUGCUGUGUGUGUGUGUGUUUAUUAUUGUUUAACAAUUUGUUUUUCACUGCCCAGGGGUCACAGGACAAAGGGCAGUAUAUGUACAUAAAUAAAUAAAUAAGUGUCACCUGACAUGUUGACCCCAAUCCAACUCUUAACUGUAACUCCAAAUGCGGAGAUGUACAUUCUUGUCUGCAUCAAAAUGCACAUCCACCUUGCUUGCACAUUUGGGUUUUCCUUGCUGGAUCAUAAUUAUAUAUAAGUUAACUAUCAAGUACUCUAUGUGGAGAGAUUAAAACAGGACAGAAAUAAUUGUUUAAACUAUUUGUUUUUUGUAGAUGAAAAGUAUUAGUUUGUAAUAUGUGCUGUCGCCUGUUAUCAGGACUGAUGCCAUUGUUAUAAACUAUCUAUGUACAUCUUUGUGUAUAGUAAAUGCAUUUAAUAGCCCCAGUAUUCAUUAGCAGGUUAACUGCGGUUGUGGGAUUUAAUUCGAAACCAAUUGAGUAUUCUGAAGACUAAGGCUACAAUCCUAUGCACUCUUUCAUGGAAGUCAGUUCUGCUAAACUCACUGGAAGAUAUUUCUGAGUAAACUUGCAUAAGAAUGGGCUCAAAAAACAAAAAACAAACAGUAACAGGUUACUUUGCCAAAUUUAGGGAGCAAUCCUCCAAGCAGGACUGUUUCCUGUUUCCUCCAAGCAGGACUGUUCCUCCUUGACACAAAAUGGAGGUUGUAUAACAGGAGUGAUUGCACUCUUUGUAAAGUAAAACUAUCUUCAUUAAAUGCCUUCGAGAUAUCAUCUAUCAUCUAUAUUGGCCUACUUAAUAUGUACAUUAAUCGGUUGAUUGAUUUAUUUUAAAAAACAGUCAGGUAGCUGAUUGAUUAAAAGGCAUUGAUUGAUUGGCAGCCCUUCAGAUUAUGUUACCCCAGAUCUGUCACCUUUUCAAGUUCAAAAGGAUGCUAAACUGGCAACAAAUGAUUGUCAUUGUCUAAUUAUUUAAAAUAGCAUAUCAGGAUUUAUUUUAAUGACUCUACUGCAAAUAUUUGUAUGUAUUUCGAAGAGGUAUUAGUAGUUAUCUCAGUCUGCUAGACAACUAAGGAGGUGAGAAAAAUGAGAACAAAAUUCUGAUUUUUUUUUUAAAAUGCAUUGAUUAAAAAAAAAGUAUACUCUUCAA